Molecule: ribosomal RNA, 372 nt
Filed under: uncultured Bacillus sp.
Lineage: Bacteria; Bacillati; Bacillota; Bacilli; Caryophanales; Bacillaceae
Description: bacterial SSU rRNA
Rfam family: Bacterial small subunit ribosomal RNA
Source: RNAcentral
ACGACGCUGGCGGCGUGCCUAAUACAUGCAAGUCGAGCGAACAGAAGGGAGCUUGCUCCCGGAUGUUAGCGGCGGACGGGUGAGUAACACGUGGGUAACCUGCCUGUAAGACUGGGAUAACUCCGGGAAACCGGAGCUAAUACCGGAUAGUUCCUUGAACCGCAUGGUUCAAGGAUGAAAGACGGUUUCGGCUGUCACUUACAGAUGGACCCGCGGCGCAUUAGCUAGUUGGUGGGGUAAUGGCUCACCAAGGCGACGAUGCGUAGCCGACCUGAGAGGGUGAUCGGCCACACUGGGACUGAGACACGGCCCAGACUCCUACGGGAGGCAGCAGUAGGGAAUCUUCCGCAAUGGACGAAAGUCUGACGGAGC